UGAGAUGAUGAAAUUUUUGCUAUUCACACUGUUUGAUGGUCCUUCACGGGAUUGAUGAAACGGUAAAACAAAAAUCUGAUUUAAUGAGGUGAGU
RNAcentral lists this small nucleolar RNA (94 nucleotides) under Drechslerella stenobrocha 248. Lineage: Eukaryota; Fungi; Ascomycota; Orbiliomycetes; Orbiliales; Orbiliaceae. The record is from RNAcentral.